This 199-nucleotide ribosomal RNA is filed under the name uncultured bacterium. RNAcentral describes it as "partial 16S ribosomal RNA". It matches the Rfam family "Bacterial small subunit ribosomal RNA", at positions 328 to 539 of the family's 1533-position model. The record is from RNAcentral.
ACGCUCGACACCUACGGGAGGCAGCAGUGGGGAAUAUUGCACAAUGGGGGAAACCCUGAUGCAGCGACGCCGCGUGAGCGAAGAAGUAUUUCGGUAUGUAAAGCUCUAUCAGCAGGGAAGAAACUGACGGUACCUGACUAAGAAGCACCGGCUAAAUACGUGCUAGCAGCCGCGGUAAUCUGGAGCGGGCUGGCAAGGC